UAAGGCUUUAGCUUAAUUAAAGUGUCUGUUUUGCAUACAGAAGAUGUGGGUUAGUAUCCCGUAAGUUUUA
Molecule: transfer RNA, 70 nt
Filed under: Xenoophorus captivus
Lineage: Eukaryota; Metazoa; Chordata; Actinopteri; Cyprinodontiformes; Goodeidae
Description: tRNA-Ala
Rfam family: tRNA
About the family: Transfer RNA (tRNA) molecules are approximately 80 nucleotides in length. Their secondary structure includes four short double-helical elements and three loops (D, anti-codon, and T loops).
Source: RNAcentral